RNAcentral lists this ribosomal RNA (2306 nucleotides) under human gut metagenome. RNAcentral describes it as "bacterial LSU rRNA". It matches the Rfam family "Bacterial large subunit ribosomal RNA", at positions 43 to 2387 of the family's 2925-position model. The record is from RNAcentral.
GAGCCGAUGAAAGACGUGAUAAGCUGCGAAAAGCUUCGGGGAGGAGCAAAUAUCCCGUGAUCCGGAGAUGUCUGAAUGGGGAAACCCACAUGAGCAAACCUCAUGUAUCCAUACGCCAAUCCAUAACGUAUGGAAGGGAACCCGGGGAACUGAAACAUCUAAGUACCCGGAGGAAAAGAAAGAAAACUCGAUUCCGUAAGUAGCGGCGAGCGAACGCGGAGGAGCCUAAACCGGAAUGCGUGCAUUCCGGGGUUACGGACUGCAUUUAAGAUUCUUUGAAGCUAACAGAACGGUUUUGGGAAAGCCGGCCGGAGAGGGUGAAAGCCCCGUACGUGAAAGCUGAUGAGACUGAGCAGGAUCCAGAGUACCACGAGACACGUGGAACCUUGUGGGAAAUCAGGGGGACCACCCCCUAAGGCUAAAUACUACUUAGUGACCGAUAGCGCAUAGUACUGUGAAGGAAAGGUGAAAAGGACCCCGGGAGGGGAGUGAAAGAGAACCUGAAACCCUGUGUCUACAAGCUGUGGAAGUGCUUUAUAUGCACGACCGCGUACUUUUUGUAGAACGGUCCGGCGAGUUACGCUUACUGGCAAGGUUAAGCACUUCAGGUGUGGAGCCGUAGGGAAACCAAGUCUUAAGAGGGCCAGAGUCAGUAGGAGUAGACCCGAAACCGGGUGAUCUAUCCAUGUCCAGGUUGAAGCUGCCGUAAGAGGUAGUGGAGGACCGAACCCACAUCCGUUGAAAAGGGUGGGGAUGAGGUGUGGAUAGGGGAGAAAUUCCAAUCGAACCCGGAGAUAGCUGGUUCUCCUCGAAAUAGCUUUAGGGCUAGCCUCGAUUUAGUCUUAUGGAGGUAGAGCACUGAAUUUCCGCGGGGGCGUCAAAGCUUACCAAAGAAUAUCAAACUCCGAAUGCCAUGUAGAUGAUGAACGGGAGUCAGACUGCACGAGAUAAGUUGGGCGGUCAAAAGGGAAAGAGCCCAGACCUUCAGUUAAGGUCCCAAAGUGCGCGUUAAGUGGAAAAGGAUGUGGGAUUUCGAAGACAACCAGGAUGUUGGCUCAGAAGCAGCCAUACAUUCAAAGAGUGCGUAAUAGCUCACUGGUCGAGAGGUCCUGCGCCGAAAAUGUCCGGGGCUGAAACGCGCCACCGAAACUAAGGAACCGAAAGGUUGGUAGAGGAGCAUUGCAUGCGGGAAGAAGCAGUACCGUAAGGAGCUGUGGACUGCAUGGAAGAGAGAAUGCCGGAAUGAGUAGCGAGAUAGAGGUGGGAAUCCUCUAGGCCGAAUAUCCAAGGUUUCCAGGGUAAAGCUGAUCUGCCCUGGGUAAGUCGGGGCCUAAGGAGAGGCAGAAAUGCGUAUCCGAUGGACAGCAGGUUGAGAUUCCUGCACUAUCUUAAAACAGAACUGUGGGGACAUUUGUGGAGAGCACAGGCGCGGAACGGAAAGCCGCGUGCAAGCGAAGGAGGAGUCACAUAGGAAAAACCGUGUGGCAAUCCAAAGGCGUGAUGCGGACCGAACUAAAGUAGGGAAGUGUGUGAGCCAUGAAUCAAGAAAAGCCGCUAUUGUUUUUAAGAUACCCGUACCGUAAACCGACACAGGUGGAUGAGGAGAGAAUCCUAAGGCCGGCGGAAGAAGCAUUGUUAAGGAAUUCGGCAAAAUGACCCCGUAACUUCGGGAGAAGGGGUGCCUGCGAGAGCAGGCCGCAGAGAAUAGGCUCAAGCAACUGUUUAGCAAAAACACAGGUCUAUGCGAAACCGAAAGGUGAGGUAUAUGGGCUGACGCCUGCCCGGUGCUGGAAGGUUAAGAGGAGAGGUUAGCGCAAGCGAAGCUUUGAAUUUAAGCCCCAGUAAACGGCGGCCGUAACUAUAACGGUCCUAAGGUAGCGAAAUUCCUUGUCGGGUAAGUUCCGACCCGCACGAAAGGCGUAAUGAUUUGAGCGCUGUCUCGACAAUGCAUCCGGUGAAAUUGAAGUACCAGUGAAGAUGCUGGUUACCCGCGCCAGGACGGAAAGACCCCAUGGAGCUUUACUCCAGUUUGGUACUGGGGUCCGGCAGUGCAUGUACAGGAUAGGUGGGAGGCUGUGAACCUGGAACGCCAGUUUCAGGGGAGCCAUUGUUGGGAUACCACCCUUGUGCUGCUGGGCUUCUAACCAGCGGCCUUUAUCAGGCCGGGGGACAAUGCCAGACGGGGAGUUUGACUGGGGCGGUCGCCUCCGAAAGGGUAUCGGAGGCGCCCAAAGGUUCCCUCAGAAUGGACGGAAACCAUUCGAAGAGUGCAAAGGCAGAAGGGAGCUUGACUGCGACACCGACGG